UGUUAAUCUCUUCCCAAACGUCAUUUCGUUCAAAGUGGAGAGAAUGUUAAAAAAAAAUAUUUUUAUUCGGAGUGUGAGAAAUGCUUUUCAGCCGCUUCUAAUCUUAAGCAUCAUUUGAGGAGCCAUACAGGAGAGAAACCUUAUUUGUGGUGUGUUUAGUAUUGUUCUGAUCAAUUUAAUACCUUCCGCGUCUCCUAUCAGUGGACG
Molecule: non-coding RNA, 207 nt
Organism: Pelobates cultripes (western spadefoot toad)
Lineage: Eukaryota; Metazoa; Chordata; Amphibia; Anura; Pelobatidae
Source: the annotation of a GenBank genome assembly